ACUAACAAGGAUUCCCCUAGUAACUGCGAGUGAAGCGGGAAAAGCUCAAAUUUAAAAUCUGGCAGCCUUUGGCUGUCUGAGUUGUAAUCUAGAGAAGUAUUAUCCGCGCUGGACCGUGUACAAGUCUCCUGGAAUGGAGCGUCAUAGAGGGUGAGAAUCCCGUCUUUGACACGGACUGCCAGGGCUUUGUGAUGUGCUCUCAAAGAGUCGAGUUGUUUGGGAAUGCAGCUCAAAAUGGGUGGUAAAUUCCAUCUAAAGCUAAAUAUUGGCGAGAGACCGAUAGCGAACAAGUACCGUGAGGGAAAGAUGAAAAGAACUUUGGAAAGAGAGUUAAACAGUACGUGAAAUUGCUGAAAGGGAAACGCUUGAAGUCAGUCGCGUUGGCCAGGGAUCAACCUUGCUUUUUUGCUUGGCUUACUUUCUGGUCGAUGGGUCAGCAUCAAUUUUGACUGGUGGAAAAAGUUCAAGGGAAUGUGGCAUCUUCGGAUGUGUUAUAGCCUUUGUUCGCAUACAUCGGUUGGGAUUGAGGAACUCAGCACGCCGCAAGGCCGGGUUUUUAACCACGUACGUGCUUAGGAUGCUGGCAUAAUGGCUUUAAUCGACCCGUCUUGAAACACGGACCAAGGAGUCUAACAUGCCUGCGAGUGUUUGGGUGAAAAACCCGAGCGCGUAAUGAAAGUGAAAGUUGAGAUCCCUGUCAUGGGGAGCAUUGACGCCCGGAUCUGACCUUUUGUGACGAUUCUGCGGUAGAGCAUGUAUGUUGGGACCCGAAAGAUGGUGAACUAUGCCUGAAUAGGGUGAAGCCAGAGGAAACUCUGGUGGAGGCUCGUAGCGAUUCUGACGUGCAAAUCGAUCGUCAAAUUUGGGUAUAGGGGCGAAAGACUAAUCGAACCAUC
This 896-nucleotide ribosomal RNA is filed under the name Laccaria tortilis. RNAcentral's name for it is "eukaryotic LSU rRNA". It matches the Rfam family "Eukaryotic large subunit ribosomal RNA", at positions 64 to 944 of the family's 3401-position model. The record is from RNAcentral. Lineage: Eukaryota; Fungi; Basidiomycota; Agaricomycetes; Agaricales; Hydnangiaceae.